AGUUGCUUUUGAAAGAGUUUCCUGGUGUGAUUGAUAUUAUCAGUCAAGGAACUUGUCCAGGAUCAACAAGGAAGUUGAUUAGUUAUGGUUUAGACAAAUAGAAUUUUAGAUGUUUAUAUGUAUAUAUUUCCAGAUGACAUGUAGAGAUAUCAGAUUAAGCCAUCAGAGAGAUUAGAUCUAGAAGCAUAGAUUUUGAAGUAAUUCUUCAUAGACAUAAUAUCUGAACUCCUCAAAGUGAUUUUGAUGAGACAGAGACAGAGAUUAGACAGAGAUCAUGCUAGAGACAGAGAGGUAGAAGGAUGGUAAAAGACAAAGACAUAGAGCUAGAGAGACAGAGGAAUACAAAUAUAAAAAGAAGGGAAAAUUGUGCAAGACAAUUUUGAGGAAUAUCCACAAUUAGGGGGCAAGAAAUGGAUUGUGAUUUAGAAAAGAAGACUAAAAGGGAUUAGCCCCCUAGGGAGAGAACAUUAGAUAAGAUAAAGUAAUGCCACAGAACCCAACUGAGUAGUGAUCGUCCUAGAGAAAGCGGUGGCAAAGGUGUUAAAAACUAUAGAAGAUGAUGAUGAGAAGGAAAAGACAAAAAUAACCCUAGUAAUUAUCAACUAAAAUUAAAUUGUGAAUAAUUUCCCACAUAGUCCAUUAUUAUUGUCAUGUCAGGACUUUUUGUAGUUCAAAGAACUAGAAACAAAUUAAAUGAAAAUCUCUCUCUCUCUCUCUCUCUCUCUCUCUCUCUCUCUCUCUCUCUCUCUCUCUCUCUCUCUCUCUCUCUCUCUCUCUCUUCAAGGCUGGAAAUUCGAGUAGAGAAGAUAGAAUGGUGGUUAUGUCCCAGGUUUGAUGGUUGGAAAGGGAAGACAAUGGAAUUUUACAGGUCAGAGAAUUAAGAAACAAAACAAAAUUUCCUGACAAUUGAAACUAUACAACAUGAUGAUUGAAUGGAUUCCUUUUCACUAAUAGUCUUCAAACAAAGGUUGGCUGCUGGAUCAAAAUUUUUUGGGUAUGUUGUACUGGUUGAAGUAGCUGGGAAAGGUAGACAGUGUUUGAUCUGUCAAUAAUUAAAAAAUAAAUAUAAGAAAAAUGACA
Molecule: long non-coding RNA, 1080 nt
Filed under: Monodelphis domestica (gray short-tailed opossum)
Lineage: Eukaryota; Metazoa; Chordata; Mammalia; Didelphimorphia; Didelphidae
Description: lncRNA (ENSMODG00000046050.1)
Source: RNAcentral